UCGGGAAUUUUGGGCAAUGGGCGAAAGCCUGACCCAGCAACGCCGCGUGAGGGAUGAAGGCCUUCGGGUCGUAAACCUCUGUCGGGAGGGAAGAACUCUCCCGGGGUAAACAAUCCCGGGAGCUGACGGUACCUCCAAAGGAAGCGCCGGCUAACUCCGUGCCAGCAGCCGCGGUAAUACGGAGGGCGCGAGCGUUGUUCGGAAUCAUUGGGCGUAAAGCGCGUGUAGGCGGCUUGGUAAGUCGGAUGUGAAAGCCCGGGGCUCAACCCCGGAAUUGCAUUCGAAACUGCCUCGCUAGAGUCCCGGAGAGGAAGGCGGAAUUCUCGGUGUAGAGGUGAAAUUCGUAGAUAUCGGGAGGAACACCAGUGGCGAAGGCGGCCUUCUGGACGGUGACUGACGCUGAGACGCGAAAGCGUGGGGAGCAAACAGGAUUAGAUACCCCUGUAGUCC
This 450-nucleotide ribosomal RNA is filed under the name uncultured prokaryote. RNAcentral's name for it is "bacterial SSU rRNA". It matches the Rfam family "Bacterial small subunit ribosomal RNA", at positions 355 to 796 of the family's 1533-position model. The record is from RNAcentral.